RNAcentral lists this ribosomal RNA (451 nucleotides) under uncultured Fibrobacter sp. RNAcentral's name for it is "partial 16S ribosomal RNA". It matches the Rfam family "Bacterial small subunit ribosomal RNA", at positions 341 to 792 of the family's 1533-position model. The record is from RNAcentral. Lineage: Bacteria; Pseudomonadati; Fibrobacterota; Fibrobacteria; Fibrobacterales; Fibrobacteraceae.
ACGGAAGGCAGCAGUGGGGUAUAUUGCACAAUGGGGGAAACCCUGAUGCAGCGACGCCACGUGUGGGAAGAAGCAUUUCGGUGUGUAAACCACUGUCGUGAGGGAAUAAUGCUUGGUUUCGGCCAAGUUGAAUGUACCUCGAAAGGAAGCACCGGCAAACUUCGUACCAGCAGCCGCGGUAAUACGAGGGGUGCAAGCGUUGUUCGGAAUCACUGGGCGUAAAGGGAGCGCAGGCGGAGAUGCAAGCGGACUGUACAAUACCGGGGCCCAACCCCGGACCUGCAGUCCGGACUGCACCUCUUGGAUAGUUCAGGGGCAAGCGGAAUUCCUGGUGUAGCGGUGGAAUGCGUAGAGAUCAGGAAGAACACCGAUGGCGAAGGCAGCUUGCUGGGGACUUAUCGACGCUCAUGCUCGAAAGUGCGGGUAGCAAGCAGGAUUAGAUACCCUGGUA